UGAACGCUGGCGGCAUGCCUAACACAUGCAAGUCGAACGCGAAAGCACCUUCGGGUGUGAGUAGAGUGGCGGACGGGUGAGUAAUGCUUGGGAAUCUGCCUAGUAGUGGGGGAUAACUCGAGGAAACUCGAGCUAAUACCGCAUACGCCCCACGGGGGAAAGAUUUAUCGCUAUUAGAUGAGCCCAAGUCAGAUUAGCUAGUUGGUGGGGUAAAAGCCUACCAAGGCGACGAUCUGUAGCUGGUCUGAGAGGACGAACAGCCACACUGGGACUGAGACACGGCCCAGACUCCUACGGGAGGCAGCAGUGGGGAAUAUUGGACAAUGGGCGAAAGCCUGAUCCAGCAAUGCCGCGUGUGUGAAGAAGGCCUGCGGGUUGUAAAGCACUUUCAGUUGGGAAGAUUAUGACGUUACCAACAGAAGAAUCACCGGCUAACUCC
Molecule: ribosomal RNA, 439 nt
Filed under: uncultured bacterium
Lineage: Bacteria
Description: bacterial SSU rRNA
Rfam family: Bacterial small subunit ribosomal RNA
Source: RNAcentral